AACGAACGUUGGCGGCAUGCCUAACACAUGCAAGUCGAACGAGACCUUCGGGUCUAGUGGCGCACGGGUGCGUAACGCGUGGGAACCUGCCCUUAGGUUCGGAAUAACUCCCCGAAAGGGGUGCUAAUACCGGAUAAUGUCUUCGGACCAAAGAUUUAUCGCCUUUGGAUGGGCCCGCGUUGGAUUAGCUAGUUGGUAGGGUAAAAGCCUACCAAGGCGACGAUCCAUAGCUGGUCUGAGAGGAUGAUCAGCCACACUGGGACUGAGACACGGUCCAGACUCCUACGGGAGGCAGCAGUGGGGAAUAUUGGACAAUGGGCGAAAGCCUGAUCCAGCAAUGCCGCGUGAGUGAUGAAGGCCUUAGGGUUGUAAAGCUCUUUUACCCGGGAUGAUAAUGACAGUACCGGGAGAAUAAGCUCCGGCUAACUCCGUG
Molecule: ribosomal RNA, 433 nt
Filed under: uncultured bacterium
Lineage: Bacteria
Description: partial 16S ribosomal RNA
Rfam family: Bacterial small subunit ribosomal RNA
Source: RNAcentral